RNAcentral lists this small nucleolar RNA (61 nucleotides) under Euglena gracilis. Its description in RNAcentral is "Eg-m26.2". Lineage: Eukaryota; Euglenozoa; Euglenophyceae; Euglenales; Euglenaceae. The record is from RNAcentral.
GGAUGAUGUGUUCAAUUUGCGGCCGACUCUGUGACGCGAUUUUAUGCCUGCUUGGCUGACU